AUUGAACGCUGGCGGCAGGCCUAACACAUGCAAGUCGAACGAGUGGCGGACGGGUGGAUAAUGUCUGGGAAACUGACCGAUGGAGGGGGAUAACUACUGGAAACGAUAGCUAAUACCGCAUCCCAUCGGAUGUGCCCAUAUGGGUGUGGCUAUUAGGUGGGGUAACGGCUCCCCUAGGCGACGAUCCCUAGCUGGUCUGAGAGGAUGACCAGCCACACUGGAACUGAGACACGGUCCAGACUCCUACGGGAGGCAGCAGUGGGGAAUAUUGCACAAUGGGCGAAAGCCUGAUGCAGCCAUGCCGCGUGUAUGAAGAAGGCCUUCGGGUUGUAAAGUACUUUCAGCGAGGAGGCGUUACUCGCAGAAGAAGCACCGGCUAACUCCGUGCCAGCAGCCGCGGUAAUUC
RNAcentral lists this ribosomal RNA (406 nucleotides) under uncultured bacterium. RNAcentral describes it as "partial 16S ribosomal RNA". It matches the Rfam family "Bacterial small subunit ribosomal RNA", at positions 30 to 526 of the family's 1533-position model. The record is from RNAcentral.